GACGGGGGGGGCAAGUGUUCUUCGGAAUUACUGGGCGUAAAGGGCUCGUAGGCGGCCAACUAAGUCGGAUGUGAAAUCCCCAGGCUUAACCUGGGAACUGCAUCCGAUACUGGAUGGCUUGAAUCCGGGAGAGGGAUGCGGAAUUCCAGGUGUAGCGGUGAAAUGCGUAGAUAUCUGGAGGAACACCGGUGGCGAAGGCGGCAUCCUGGACCGGCAUUGACGCUGAGGAGCGAAAGCCAGGGGAGCAAACGGG
RNAcentral lists this ribosomal RNA (253 nucleotides) under uncultured bacterium. Its description in RNAcentral is "partial 16S ribosomal RNA". It matches the Rfam family "Bacterial small subunit ribosomal RNA", at positions 524 to 776 of the family's 1533-position model. The record is from RNAcentral.